GUUUUGUGUUGUUGAUUUAAGUUACUCUACAUAAUUGUUGCUAUCCUAGGACUUAAUAAGUGACCAGAGUGGGAGAAAAUUCACAGAGAAUUCUUUGCCUCCAGGUAUUGCAUUCUGGGAUUAAAGGGGACACCUACCAAGCCCAGUUCAGUAUCAUUCAUAAUGACUACCUGGUCCUUGAAUGAAAACACUCAUGAGAAGAGGCCACAAGAUGACAACGAAGAAAACAAACACCCUGCUCCUCAUUCAAAGAGGAAU
Molecule: long non-coding RNA, 258 nt
Filed under: Cricetulus griseus (Chinese hamster)
Lineage: Eukaryota; Metazoa; Chordata; Mammalia; Rodentia; Cricetidae
Description: lncRNA (ENSCGRG00000024294.1)
Source: RNAcentral